This 253-nucleotide ribosomal RNA is filed under the name uncultured bacterium. RNAcentral describes it as "partial 16S ribosomal RNA". It matches the Rfam family "Bacterial small subunit ribosomal RNA", at positions 524 to 776 of the family's 1533-position model. The record is from RNAcentral.
UACGGAGGGUGCGAGCGUUAAUCGGAAUAACUGGGCGUAAAGGGCACGCAGGCGGGCAUUUAAGUGAUAUGUGAAAUCCCCGGGCUUAACCUGGGAAUAGCAUUUCAGACUGGGUGUCUAGAGUACUUGAGGGAGGGGUAGAAUUCCACGUGUAGCGGUGAAAUGCGUAGAGAUGUGGAGGAAUACCGAAGGCGAAGGCAGCCCCUUGGCAUUUUACUGACGCUCAUGUGCGAAAGCGUGGGGAGCAAACAGG